CGUAGGGUGCAAGCGUUAAUCGGAAUUACUGGGCGUAAAGCGUGCGCAGGCGGUUAUGUAAGACAGAUGUGAAAUCCCCGGGCUCAACCUGGGAACUGCAUUUGUGACUGCAUAGCUAGAGUACGGCAGAGGGGGAUGGAAUUCCGCGUGUAGCAGUGAAAUGCGUAGAUAUGCGGAGGAACACCGAUGGCGAAGGCAAUCCCCUGGGCCUGUACUGAACGCUCGAUGACACGAAAGCGUGGGAGCAAACAGGAUUAGAUACCCUGGUAGUCCACGCCCUAAACGAUGUCAACUGGUUGUUGGGUCUUCACUGACUCAGUAACGAAGCUAACGCGUGAAGUUGACCGCCUGGGGAGUACGGCCGCAAGGUUG
RNAcentral lists this ribosomal RNA (372 nucleotides) under uncultured organism. RNAcentral describes it as "bacterial SSU rRNA". It matches the Rfam family "Bacterial small subunit ribosomal RNA", at positions 526 to 896 of the family's 1533-position model. The record is from RNAcentral.